UUGGACAGUCCCUUGGUGAAGUGAGGACUCAGGCAUGAGUGUGACCAUCGGUUGUACUUACUAGAAAGAAAUCAUCUGAGACCCAGUCUUGUGCAUCGGUUAGGCCUCCACUCCACUACAUGAUGUGAUGGAUGACUCAUGUGCUACAUGCAAAAUGCAUUUCUCUCCACAGCAGAGCAGCCUGAGCUAGACAGCUAGUCUUGCUUGUUAUGCACUGGGUUACCAAAUUGAGUUGUAAAAAUGGCAGAUGGACCACAACUUCCAUCUGUAAUCCAGAAGAUAAGAGUGCAACCUUACCUCUCCAUCAUGCAGUUUCCUAACCAUCAAGCCUGGACUUCAAGCUUACAAAACCUUCCCAGAGCUGGCGGAUAUGCGAUUGACAGAUUGCACAAAACUUUGCUGCCAGCAUAUGCUGGCUCUGCCUCCUAUCUUGCUUCACCUCUGCUAACAGUAUUUGUAGGAGCUCCACUGGAAAAGCAUAAGUCUGCUUCUCCAUCUCAUUUAUUUUGGGGAACAUUCCAUGUUCUUUUUGGGGUGGCAACUGCUCCAAUUGGGAGAGUGAAACUCCUGAUCCAGUGCCAAGAUGAGAUGAUCAAGUCAAGUAGACUGCCUAAGCCUUAUAAAGGAAUUGUGAACUGCUUCGCCAGAACAAUCAGUAAUGAGGCUUGGCAGUAGAAAAUUUUGCUGAUUUAGCAACUCAUGUUGUUGUUUAUCCCCUGGAUUAUGCCCAGACUCGCCUAGCCAAUGAUAUCAAGACAAACAAUAAGAUUGAAGAAAGGCAAUUCAAAGGUUUAAUUGAUGUCUACAAAAAAACUAUAAGAUGAGAUGGCAUUGCUGGACUGUACCGUGGAUGUGCUAUCUCAUGUUUUAAAAGCUUUUUAAGUUGUGGGGUCUACAUUGGCAUACAUGUUUUCUUCAGGCCGGUUCUGUUACUCAGCCUGCUCCAGUUGCAGAAAGACUUCUUGGCUGCAUCAGUAAUGGCAGUGGGAGUCGUAGUUUGUCAAAAGAUGGCAACUUACCCAUUGGACACUGUAAAUAGGGAGGAUGAUGAUGACCUCUGGAGAAGUUGUUAAGUAUCAGAGUUCAAUACAUGCAUUUGCAGAGAUUAUCAGGAAUGAGGGUGUUAAGUCCCUUUAUAAGGGUGGAGGUGCAUGCAUCCUCGAAACAAUAACUUUAGCUGCUAUUUUGACUGUUUUUAGCAGAAGAAUGUGGAAUUAUUUGUCCACAAAGAAGUCUAAUUCUGCUGCUAAUGGUGUGUCCGCAAAGAGGAAUGGAUCGGCUGGUGGUGGUCAAUCUGCAUCAACUCUCGUCAUUAAAUGGACAUAUGGUAAGAAUGACUAGGGGCAAUAGUGGUGGAGGCCCCCGCAGAAAUUUCACUUCUUUGCAAUUAUAGUUCAGUUGACAGUCUGAGAAAGGUCUUCUGUAAUCUAAUAUUAUAGGUAGUAAAAACAAUAGUACUUAGGUUUAUGAGUCUGGGUGGAACCUCUUCCCCGUUGUAAACAAAUGAGUUUGUAUUGUGCUGACUUCUAAAAAUUGGAUACUCAAAUUACCAUCACUUGAAAUCGAUACAUUUACUGGAAGCUUAA
Molecule: long non-coding RNA, 1586 nt
Organism: Quercus lobata
Lineage: Eukaryota; Viridiplantae; Streptophyta; Magnoliopsida; Fagales; Fagaceae
Exons: 3
Source: RefSeq, a predicted model, not a curated record